This 416-nucleotide ribosomal RNA is filed under the name uncultured bacterium. RNAcentral describes it as "bacterial SSU rRNA". It matches the Rfam family "Bacterial small subunit ribosomal RNA", at positions 29 to 493 of the family's 1533-position model. The record is from RNAcentral.
AACGAACGCUGGCGGCAGGCCUAAUACAUGCAAGUCGAACGCACCGCAAGGUGAGUGGCAGACGGGUGAGUAACGCGUGGGAACCUUCCUAGUAGUACGGAAUAACUCCGGGAAACCGGUGCUAAUACCGUAUAAGCCCUCCGGGGGAAGGAUUUAUCGCUACUAGAUGGGCCCGCGUCGGAUUAGCUUGUUGGUGAGGUAAUGGCUCACCAAGGCUUCGAUCCGUAGCUGGUCUGAGAGGANGAUCAGCCACACUGGGACUGAGACACGGCCCAGACUCCUACGGGAGGCAGCAGUAGGGAAUAUUGGACAAUGGGCGAAAGCCUGAUCCAGCCAUGCCGCGUGAGUGAAGAAGGCCUUUAGGGUUNUAAAGCUCUUUGGCGGGAAGAUAAUGACGGUACCCGCAGAAUAAGCUC